Molecule: long non-coding RNA, 459 nt
Filed under: Pongo abelii (Sumatran orangutan)
Lineage: Eukaryota; Metazoa; Chordata; Mammalia; Primates; Hominidae
Description: lincRNA
Source: RNAcentral
GAAGAGACCAGCUGGGCUCUAAGAUAGGGAGACCCUUUCUACAUUGGUGCCUUGACAUGUGACUCUUUUGUCACUUCGUGCUCCAGAAUCACCCCCUGAUGAACUGCUAUCACUUUCAAAUGACCUUGUCUUUUCUCAGGCCCUCCGAACUGAUCAUCUCUUCCUUCUAAUACAAGAGGAUCUUCCCUGGAAGACCACUGCACACCUUCUAGUAACACUGGGACCCUGGUCUCCAUCACUCUCUGCUGCCUGGUAACUGGUAUUGGACACCUGGACAGCUGCAUCCCCGAGCCUUGAGAACCCAACACGUGUUCUGGAAUGACUGGCAGUAGCACCCCACCACUCAACCCCCAUAUGAGAAGGAAAAGGCCUCCUGCCUCCUCUUCUUUCACCAGACACUGUGGGCUCCCAAUUCCCAUGUGCACCCCAAAGAUCCAAGCCACUAGCUCUCUCUCCACC